Gallus gallus (chicken) is the source of this 1711-nucleotide long non-coding RNA. NCBI's taxonomy places the organism in Eukaryota, Metazoa, Chordata, Aves, Galliformes, Phasianidae. The record is from Ensembl.
GUUUUAUGUCCUCAACUUCGUUACUGAAAUACAGCUUUUAAUUGGUAGUGAAGCCUGUGUUCUAGUGCGGAGGUAGCUGCCCGGACAAGUUGCUUGCUGUGGGUUUGGACAAGUUACUGUUGCAACAAUUUCCUGAUUGUCUGAGAGGAUAUCAAGGGUGGGGUGCUUGUCUGGUUUGUUUUGGUAGCCUUGAGUGGGGAGGUCUGGAAACGAGUUCCUUGCUGAGAACAGGGAACAUCUGAUUGCAGCAUGGAGUCUGACUUUAUUGAAAACAGAAAAGGUAAUUUUCCCUUCCAGCUUGGAGUGACUGUACAGUGGAUAGCUCUCACUGCACAAGACUUCAGCCUCCCGGCUAUCUUGAGACACGUAACAAACACUAGAAACGCUGCCAGAUAGAACCUGAGAAAAUGGCAAGUAAGAGCAAACCUGAGUUUGUUACUCUGAGGAGACGCUGCUGACCUUCACAGAAGCCUGGCAGCUUUCUGAAGCUGUGACUUGUAAGGUGCGGGCUGCUGCUGGUGGCAUAAUGAUAGGCGGAGGCCUCAACCUGGUGUAAGGUUCAGCCUUGAUGAGCCAUUUGGCAAAAACUAUAGCAAAGGUCAUGUUGUAUACAUGUCCAGAAGAGGAAUCUGCUGGGACUUCAGCAAGACCAGGCUGACUUCUGUGGACCUCCUCUUAGUUCUCAGCAUCACAGGAACAGCCACCAAAAAUACAGAUGCACUCAGAGGGCUUGGUGGUGAGUGGCAAAAGUAUUCAAGCUCUGAAAUCAGCUCUGAAUUUCCCCAAGGAAGUUUGUUUUCCUGUUUUAAAACCUUCCUGCUAUGCUCGGGAUUCACUCUUUCCCAGUUCCUACAGCUCUGCUUGCAGUAGGGCGGGCUGAAUUGGGUGGCCUCCUUCUUGGUGAUAGAGCAGUUGACAGCUUUAGUUUUUGAGGUGGAUCGUUUUGUUUCUCAGCCUUUUCUGAAGCACUCAAGAGGGCUAUGUAGAUUGAAAACAUGAUGGGCUGAAAUAUGAAGUAAAAGCAUGCCUGGUCUGUUGUUUCACCUCAUAUUCUCCUAGUGUGUCCUGAACUUAUUAUCCUAGAGCGGAAGGGGACGCUUACAGGGCCGGGUGAGCGCAGUGCAGUUCAUGGAGCCUCUGCAGCACAAUGUUUGCUGCCAUGUGGCUGAAUUACAACUCUGGGAAGGCUGCUCGAGGUAAGGCUCAGAUGGAUUAAAGCUGCUCUGCCUGUCCUCGUUUUGAGCUGUGUGGGGGAUGGCUCGCCUGCCGCCUGUGGCACAGUGCCCAAACGCUUGCACUGAUUGUAGCUUUGAGACCGUAACCAAAAUGAUCGUUCUUAGAAAGCCAUUGCCACUGAGUUAAUGCUUAGGAAAAUUGGAGCUCCGUGUGAGCUGCUAUCCUCGCAGCACGGCUCCUCACCCAGCGCAGCCGGCAGCCAUUGGAGCUCUGCUCAUCUUACGGCUUAAGGGGAAGAAAAUGUUGGGACAGUGGGGAAGAAGGAAACUUCAUCAGAGCUGCAUGGAGAAUUGUCAUCUCGACAGCCACUGCUCAACCAGUUGCAAACUGUAGAGGGUUGAGUCCUGUUUUGCCAUCCGAAGGCACUGCAGCCUGCACAGGCUCUCAGGACAUCUGUGAUGGUGCCAAACUGGCUUCCCAUGGACAGGAUGGAGAUCCCUUAGCAGGGUGUGCCUCCUGCCACCAAAACCCCCCG